Pseudophryne corroboree (corroboree frog) is the source of this 269-nucleotide long non-coding RNA. RefSeq lists it as uncharacterized. The record is from RefSeq and is a predicted model, not a curated record. Lineage: Eukaryota; Metazoa; Chordata; Amphibia; Anura; Myobatrachidae. The transcript is spliced from 4 exons.
AGCAUGCAGCUACCAUCAAUCUUCUGGCAGCAGAGUGUUGCAGACUUUAUUGCUGAAUCUAUCCAGCAUUUGCCGAUUGAUAUGUAGCUGCCACGUGUUGUUUUUUAAGUUAACCAGUAGUCCUGUGUUUAAGGAGCUACUUCUGAUCUCUUUGUGACCUUAUAUUACCCCAGAUGUUAUGAAUUGCCGGUCUUGAUAAAGGUCCAUUGUUAGGACUGAAACGUCGAUUGUUAAAGGCAACAUCACUGAGUCCGAUUAAACUGAAUGAU